GAUGAAGAACGUAGCGAAAUGCGAUACGUAAUGUGAAUUGCAGAAUUCAGUGAAUCAUCGAGUCUUUGAACGCACAUUGCGCCCCCUGGUAUUCCGGGGGGCAUGCCUGUCCGAGCGUCAUUGCUGCCCUCAAGCACGGCUUGUGUGUUGGGCCUCCGUCCUCCUCCCGGGGGACGCGCCCGAAAGGCAGCGGCGGCACCGCGUCCGGUCCUCGAGCGUAUGGGGCUUCGUCACCCGCUCUUGUAGGACCGGCCGGCGCUUGCCGACACAUCAAUCUUUUUUCCAGGUUGACCUCGGAUCAGGUAGGGAUACCCGCUGAACUUAAGCAUAUCAAUAGCGGAGGA
RNAcentral lists this unclassified non-coding RNA (344 nucleotides) under soil metagenome. RNAcentral's name for it is "partial contains 5.8S ribosomal RNA, internal transcribed spacer 2, and large subunit ribosomal RNA". The stretch from base 1 to 120 matches the Rfam family "5.8S ribosomal RNA", at positions 35 to 154 of the family's 154-position model. The record is from RNAcentral.